This 72-nucleotide transfer RNA is filed under the name Fukomys damarensis (Damara mole-rat). It matches the Rfam family "tRNA". From Rfam's summary of the family: Transfer RNA (tRNA) molecules are approximately 80 nucleotides in length. Their secondary structure includes four short double-helical elements and three loops (D, anti-codon, and T loops). The record is from Rfam by way of RNAcentral. Lineage: Eukaryota; Metazoa; Chordata; Mammalia; Rodentia; Bathyergidae.
UGUGGUGUAGCUCAGUGGCAGAGCGCUUUUCUCGUGUGCUCCUGGCCCUGGGUUCAAUCCCCAGCACCAAAA